GCGCGGUCCCCGGCCGGCCGGCGCGGAGACGCGAGCUCUGGGGAAGCGCCGCGAGUGCUCCAGGGUUUUACGUUUACAUAACAGACGUUGCCUGUGUGUGGCAGCGCGCGUCGGAAGAGUUCGCAUUCACACAAUAACGUUUCCUGUGUGUGAUGGAUGCUACCCUAACGGCGUGGACGAUUUCACCUCUGUAUGUCACGGACACUGAGUGUUUAUUGCACUGCCUGUCUCAGGGAUCCACCUCACCAGAUUCUGCUUGUUGUUCUUUUAACCACCAUGCUGCAGACUGGAUGAGAAAGGGAGCUGAUUGACAGGCUUCCAGCAGAUGAGUGGGGCUGCUCAAAGAUGAGGAAGCUUCAAGGAUCAGAGUUGGUGACGCACAAAGGAGCCCAGAAUAACAGGUAUGAACCCUUCAUGCUCAAUCUGAAGCCAGGAACCUGGGCAACAGGCCCAGUUGGAACCAAGAAGGUCAUCUAAGCAAAAGCAGUCCCUAGAGAAGACCGGCACAGUCUGGCUUCCAGGAGCUGGUGGCUCCAGAAGGCAAGAGAGAAAACAGACAGCAGCUUGUGUGUACCUGCUGACUCUGAUUGGUCUCCUGAUGCCAGCUUUGCCUCCCUGAGUGCUUCAGAUUUAAAGAACUACUCAGAAAAUAACUAAAACAAAAUUAGUAAAAAAUGAACAAGAGAAUUAAAUGA
This 695-nucleotide long non-coding RNA is filed under the name Chinchilla lanigera (long-tailed chinchilla). RNAcentral's name for it is "lncRNA (ENSCLAG00000023615.1)". Lineage: Eukaryota; Metazoa; Chordata; Mammalia; Rodentia; Chinchillidae. The record is from RNAcentral.